This 254-nucleotide ribosomal RNA is filed under the name uncultured bacterium. RNAcentral's name for it is "partial 16S ribosomal RNA". It matches the Rfam family "Bacterial small subunit ribosomal RNA", at positions 524 to 776 of the family's 1533-position model. The record is from RNAcentral.
UACGGAGGGUGCGAGCGUUGUCCGGAAUCACUGGGCGUAAAGGGCGCGUAGGUGGCCUGUGGAAGUCUGCGGGGAAAGCCCGGCGCUCAACGCCGGGUCGGCCGUGGAUACUCUCGGGCUCGAGCUUACUAGAGGCAGAUGGAAUUCCGGGUGUAGCGGUGGAAUGCGUAGAGAUCCGGAAGAACACCGGUGGCGAAGGCGGUCUGCUGGGGUAAUGCUGACACUGAUGCGCGACAGCGUGGGGAGCAAACAGG